GCAUAGUGAUGAUGAACUAUAAAUAUUCCGAUUUUUAAAGUGAUGAUCAACACCUCCUACUCAUUCUGA
Daucus carota subsp. sativus is the source of this 69-nucleotide non-coding RNA. Lineage: Eukaryota; Viridiplantae; Streptophyta; Magnoliopsida; Apiales; Apiaceae. The record is from Rfam.